AGCAGCCGCGGUAAUUCCAGCUCCAAUAGCGUAUAUUAAAGUUGUUGCAGUUAAAAAGCUCGUAGUUGAAUUUCGGAAUCUGUCCAUCGGUCGGGCUUCACUGUCCGUACUGGUGUGGUGGGUUCUUACCUUCUGAAUAACCAGCAUGCCAUCCACUUGGUGCGUUGGGGAAGCAGGACUAUUACCUUGAAAAAUUAGAGUGCUCAAAGCAGGCUAGCGCCUGAAUACAUUAGCAUGGAAUAAUAAAAUAGGACGGCAUGGUUCUAUUUUGUUGGUUUCUAGGAUCACCGUAAUGAUUAAUAGGGAUAGUUGGGGGCAUUAGUAUUCAAUUGUCAGAGGUGAAAUUCUUGGAUUUAUUGAAGACUAACUUCUGCGAAAGCAUUUGCCAAGGAUGUUUUCAUUAAUCAAGAACGAAAGUUAGGGGAUCGAAGACGAUCAGAUACCGUCGUAGUCUUAACCAUAAACUAUGCCGACUAGGGAUCGGACGAUGUUAAUUUUUAAUGUACUCGUUCGGUCG
This 517-nucleotide ribosomal RNA is filed under the name uncultured Glomeromycotina. RNAcentral describes it as "SSU rRNA". It matches the Rfam family "Eukaryotic small subunit ribosomal RNA", at positions 569 to 1086 of the family's 1831-position model. Lineage: Eukaryota; Fungi; Glomeromycota. The record is from RNAcentral.